This 351-nucleotide unclassified non-coding RNA is filed under the name uncultured fungus. RNAcentral describes it as "sequence contains ITS1". The stretch from base 1 to 104 matches the Rfam family "5.8S ribosomal RNA", at positions 50 to 154 of the family's 154-position model. The record is from RNAcentral. Lineage: Eukaryota; Fungi.
AAAAUGCGAUAACUAAUGUGAAUUGCAGAUUACGUGAAUCAUCAAGUCUCUGAAUGCAAAUUGCACCCUGUGGUAUUCCGCAGGGUCUACCUGUUUGAGCCUAUCACCCGUAGGGGACUUACUCUCCCCUACAAUAAUGGCCUUGUCCAUUGAGCGCAUUGCAACCUUGUGCCGCAAUGUGUUAGAUAGUGUUAUCUAUAGACUUUAUGGUUAGUUGAUCAUAAAUACUUGGAUGACAGCUAGAGUUUAUACUCAGCAAGGGUAAACAUCACUGUUCUCUUCGGAGAGCAGUUGUUGAGUUACCUAAGUAUUGAAAGGCCCAAAUCAGGCAAGAUUACCCGCUGAACUUAA